UUUUUUUUUUUUUUUUGGAAAAGCACUUUAGUACCUUAUGCAUACCAAAAAACUCUAAUGGGCAUGAUAAAUGUCAAGUGAAUUAACAAAUAUUUUAGCUAACAGAUAUAAAGGAAAGCUUAAGAUUUUGGUCUGGAUUCACUGCCUUGGAAUCAGACUACUAGAGAGAGAGGAAGGAGAUAAAACAGAAUAAAAAGAUGGUGUUCCCGUUGUGGUGCAGUGGUUAACGAAUCCAACUAGGAACGAUGAGGUUGCAGGUUCGAUCCCUGGCCUUGCUCAGUGGGUUAAGGAUCCGGUGUUGCCGUGAGCUGUGGUGUAGGUUGCAGACGCAGCUCAGAUCUUGUGUUGCUGUGGCUGUGGCGUAGGCCGGGUGACUACAGCUCCAAUUGGAACCCUAGCCUGGGAACCUCCACAUGCUGAGGGACCGGCCCAAGAAAUGGAAAAAGAAAAAAAAAAAAAAAAAANGAAAUGCCAUCAUGCUUGAUUCUUUUGCUUCCUGUUUCAUUCCUCUACCUCAGUGCCUCCCCCUCACCCCACCUCCUGCUACAGAACAAUUUAUCUGCUUGAGGUAAAGAAUCCAUGAGACAACUCUGAAAUCAUUUAUAUAUUUACUCAAAUUUAUGAAGAAAACCUAAGCAUGAAAAAUUGGAAUUUAGGAAGUUCCUUUGUGGUGCAGCAGGUUAAGGAUCCCAGCACUGCCACAGCUAUGGCACAGGCUGCAACUGUAGCCUGGGUUUGAACACUGACCCAGGAACUUCCACAUGCCACAGGCACAGCAACCACCACUGCCCCAGGGCCACCAAAAAAAAAAAAAAAAAGGAACUGAACUAAACUUUUUCAAAAAAGAGUCUAAAUGAAGAAUUAUGUGACUGCCACUGGAUAGGCUCUUGUGUCACGUUAAAAAAUUGACACUGGGGGGCUCCUGUCAUGGCUCAGCAGUAACAAACCCGACUAGUAUCCAUGAGGACUUGGGUUCUAUCCCUGGACUCCCUCAGUGGGUUAAGAAUUGGAUCUGGCAUUGCUGUGGCUGUGAAGUAGGCCAGCAGCCACAGCUCCGAUUUGACCCCUAGCCUGGGAACUUCCAUAUGCCAUAGGUGUGGCUCCACAAAGACAAAAAAAAAAAAAAAAAAAAAANAUGGUUAGAGAUUUCAGUAAGCCCAGAAAAUAGGGAUUCCUUCAAAAUAAUAUGAAUCCAUCUUUUGUAGCCAAGUUAUAAACUAAUCUCUCUCUUCCCCAUACAACUUACUAUGAAGCCUUGGUCUAUUGCCAUUUGGGCUUUUUCAAAGGUAUCUUUUAAAAACAUUUUUAUAAAAUGCUGCUACUUAAAAAUAGCUUAAAAUGUCAGUAAAGUUCUCAUAGUCUAAAAUUAAUUUCCCCCCAAAAGGACUAGAGUAUCACCAGUACAAGUUCUUAAUGGAAUUAUGCCAAAUAGUGACAAAUCCCCUGGUGACAUUCCAUAACUCAUUAAAAGAAAGUUUAAGUAUCAUGCAAUUUGGGUAGAAAGACUAGUUUAGCCAGAUUACCCAAGAAUGGAGUUACUAGUACUGAUAACAUCUCAUACAACUUGAAGUAGCCUUAUACAUUACACUUUCAUGGAAGUGUCUAAUAAUUUAAAACGUCUAUAGCACAAGGUAAUUGAUUAUAUUCAAAAGCAGCAACAAAAAACCUAAAUUAUCAUGAAAGAUUUUUAAUACAAGCUGAGUGUUUCUAAAGCAACUACUGUCAAAAAGUUUCUCCCUUCACUGCCCAUUUCAAAGCUACCUUCAAAUACUCCACAGCCCUAUCUGAUCUUAGGAAUAGGAACUAUUCAAAGUGUUAAAGGAAAGGAAGAAAACACAGGGAAGUCUAAUUAACUGGACAACUGAAAAAAUUUUCCGUGUCAAAAUCGACAUAAAAAAUUAAAAGGCAAAAAAGUACUCUUAGAAACCUUUUAAACAACCCCAACACACACACACACGCAAUUCAAAACUGUCAAGUAUUUGUUUUCCUUGGGAAUUUAAAAAAUACAUAUAUAUUUUUUAACCUAGCAGAAUCAAACAUUUUUAGAAGUCCCUGAUAAUAUUAAGAACACAAUAAGUGAAAUUUUAAUACAAUGAUAGUGGGACUGUAACCUUCCUAGAAGGUAACUGGUGAUAGUUACUAAGAAUCUAAAAAAGGUACAACUUCCAGUUUUAAAAUAAAUAAGUAGUGGGAUGUAAUAUACAAUAUGAUGACUAAAGCUUAACACUGCUAUAGAGUAUACCUGAAAGUUGCUAAGAGAGUAGAUCCUAAAAGUUCUCAUCACAAGAGAACUUUUUUUUGGAGUAACUAUAUAAUGUGACGAAUGUGAACUUUUUUUUUUUUUUUUUUUUUUUGGCUGUGCCCAAGGCAAGAGGAAGUUCCCAGAGCAGGGCUCAAACCAACAACACCGCAGCAGCUCUCCGAACUACUGCAGUGACAAUGCCAGAUCCUAAAACGGCUACACCACAAGGGAAUUCCUAACAAUUUUCAUUGUAAUAAUCAUUUCACAAUAUAUCUAAGUCAUUAUGCUAUACGCCUUGAACUUACACAGGGCUACAUAUCAAUUAUAUCUCAAUAAAACUGAAAGGGGAAAAAAGGGCUUCAAAAAAAUGUUUAUCUUCUUUGAUUUAGCAAUGACCACUCCUGAGAAAUAAAGAUUAAAUGUAAAUAUUUCCAUAAGGAAAAUCCAUAGGAUCAUUAGUUAUAAUUUAUAUAACUUGUAAUAUAAAAAUAACCUAAAAUUGGGGGAAUCCUAUAUGAAAGAAUGCUAUAUAUCACUUUGAAAGAGUAGUUAAUGACAUUGGAAGAUAAAAUUUGUUUUUAAAAGAUUAAAUAUUGUAGGAGUUCCCGUCGUGGCACAGUGGUUAACGAAUCCGACUAGGAACCAUGAGGUUGCGGGUUCGAUCCCUGCCCUUGCUCAGUGGGUUAACGAUCCGGCGUUGCCGUGAGCUGUGGUGUAGGUUGCAGACGCGGUUCAGAUCCCACGUUGCUGUGGCUCUGGCAUAGGCCGGUGGCUACGGCUCCGAUUCGACCCCUAGCCUGGGAACCUCCAUGUGCUGCGGGUGCGGCCCAAAGAAAUAGCAAAAAGACAAUAAAAAAAAAAAAAAAAAAAAAGAUUAAAUAUUGUAAAUGCAUCUAACUCUUAAACACACUACGCACAUUUAAAAAAAAACAAAACAAAAAAAUUUGGCCAAAACUUCUAAUCUUCA
This 3209-nucleotide long non-coding RNA is filed under the name Sus scrofa (pig). Its description in RNAcentral is "lncRNA (ENSSSCG00040036621.1)". Lineage: Eukaryota; Metazoa; Chordata; Mammalia; Artiodactyla; Suidae. The record is from RNAcentral.